Molecule: ribosomal RNA, 464 nt
Filed under: Vreelandella stevensii
Lineage: Bacteria; Pseudomonadati; Pseudomonadota; Gammaproteobacteria; Oceanospirillales; Halomonadaceae
Description: partial 16S ribosomal RNA
Rfam family: Bacterial small subunit ribosomal RNA
Source: RNAcentral
CCACGGGUGGCAGCAGUGGGGAAUAUUGGACAAUGGGGGCAACCCUGAUCCAGCCAUGCCGCGUGUGUGAAGAAGGCCCUCGGGUUGUAAAGCACUUUCAGUGAGGAAGAACGCCUGGUGGUUAAUACCCAUCAGGAAAGACAUCACUCACAGAAGAAGCACCGGCUAACUCCGUGCCAGCAGCCGCGGUAAUACGGAGGGUGCGAGCGUUAAUCGGAAUUACUGGGCGUAAAGCGCGCGUAGGUGGCUUGAUAAGCCGGUUGUGAAAGCCCCGGGCUCAACCUGGGAACGGCAUCCGGAACUGUCAAGCUAGAGUGCAGGAGAGGAAGGUAGAAUUCCCGGUGUAGCGGUGAAAUGCGUAGAGAUCGGGAGGAAUACCAGUGGCGAAGGCGGCCUUCUGGACUGACACUGACACUGAGGUGCGAAAGCGUGGGUAGCAAACAGGAUUAGAUACCCUUGUAGUC